UUCUAUUAAAAUUAAUAAUAGUAAGAUCUGCUCAAUGAUUUUAAAUAGCCGCAAUUAUCCUGUGCUAAGGUAGCAUAAUCAUUCGUUUUCUAAUUAAAAACUAGAACAAAAGAUUAAACAUUUUAAUCAAUAUCUUAAAUUUAAAAUUUUAAUUUAUUCUAAUUGUAAUAAAACAAUUAUUAAUAAGAUAGACGACAAGACCCUAUUGAACUUUACUUAAGUUAAACUGGGGCAGUUAAUUAAUAACUAUUUUAAUUUUAAAUAUCAAAACAAUUGACCUAUAAAAUAUAAUUAUAUAAUUAAGUUACCAUAGGGAUAACAGUGUAAUAAUUAUCUAAAGUUCUUAUUUAAAUAAAAGUUUACAACCUCGAUGUUGAAUAAUAUUCUUUUUUUUGCAAAAAAAUUAAAAGAUAGUCUGUUCGACUUGUAAAAAAUUACA
RNAcentral lists this ribosomal RNA (439 nucleotides) under Centrothele mutica. RNAcentral's name for it is "partial 16S ribosomal RNA". The record is from RNAcentral. Lineage: Eukaryota; Metazoa; Arthropoda; Arachnida; Araneae; Lamponidae.